GGGUAAGUCCUGUACGACCAGCUCCCGUCUAAUCCCCCAGGGUAGGAAUACAGCAAGGGUCGAUGGUUGUAGCGGUGCGAUACAGGUAGCUUACCCACU
Molecule: signal recognition particle RNA, 99 nt
Filed under: Crocinitomicaceae bacterium
Lineage: Bacteria; Pseudomonadati; Bacteroidota; Flavobacteriia; Flavobacteriales; Crocinitomicaceae
Description: signal recognition particle sRNA small type
Rfam family: Bacteroidales small SRP
About the family: The non-coding component of the signal recognition particle in Bacteroides
Source: RNAcentral